AUCUCUUGGAGCUAGACUUCUUCUUGAGGAGGAGUGCUGUUUAGCCAGAGAUUCCCUCCACCAGCUGGUCUUCAGAUCAGCAGCAGGCUCUGAACUGCUGUUGGGUUCCAGACCUUGCUGACCCACGUACCCCAUCUCUAUAAGAAUCUCAGCCCCGUCUUCGAAGUCUGCAAAGGACCAGCUGACUUCCCAGAGCUCCUCAGAAUGCCAGUGGGGUGAAACUUGAAGAAACUGUAGAAACUUUUCGUGAAGCUAUAACAGAUUAUGCUGAUAAAAAAAAAAAAAGUGUUUCUCAGGUGGAGUGUGAUGCACUUUUGGCAUUAUACAGCUUUCAAGCAGCCUAAUGUAAUGCCCCCUGUCUUUUAUUAUUUAUACAAGAGAUUUGUGUUUUUACCAUGCUGGAAAAGACCACUCUGUUACUCUGAAGUUCACGCAGGUCAGGAGAGAAUAUUGGAAACUGAACUUUUCAACCUGGUGGCCCCCGCUGGCAUGGCAGGCAGCGGUCUGACGGGAACACAAGUUCAGCAGUACAGAGUAAUAAUGAAAAAUGUAGCUCUGCAACUUUCUCUGUCAAUAACAAAGCUCAUCUUUUUGUGCCAGCAAGACAUUGCAUGCAGCACACAUUUCAAAUUCAGUUAAUCUCAAAAUAAUUCAAAAAUCAAAGAGCUUAUUCAACCAUCAAGACAUACCAGAUUGACUCACUGUGUAUUCAUGGAGGGGAUAGCAGAGAAAAAAGAAUUCAAUAUCAGAAUCAGUAAAAGCAGCGCUAGUUUUUUGUUCAGUCUAAAUUGUUUUUAGACCACACGAGCACGCUAUGAAUACUAAAAGAGGUACCAAAAGAAUAUUUUAUGAUUGCAUUGUUUGCAUUACUCAUCUAGGAAUAAAAUUCACAGAGGUGGCAGUGGUACAUGGGUGCACAUGCUCUUUCUGCCUCUCUUCAAGAACUCGCAUAUCUUGAACAUUGUUCCAGGGCUGUGAUCAAUGCACCUGCUGUCAUUAAAUGUUAGGUCACAGCACACCUAACAUUCAAAUCUGGUGGCAAAGAGCAUCUGCACAUACAACUGAUGGACGAACAGAUUCUGCCAUCGUAGUAGUAUAGUAUUGCCUUACAAAGUCUCAGUGUUUCCUGUUUUGAGCCUUGUAUGGAGACUGAUGCAGUCAUCAUUAAAAACGGAGUUGCUGCCACCAAAUUCGUAUGUAUUUAUGAGAGGGUAUCUGCUGGAGUUCACUCACUAUAGCAGGUGAAGGUACCUGUUUCUCACUAAGCAGAAAGUAUAUGUUUACUUGUAAGCAGGUGAGGAUGCAGGACUGCCCCUUGGCUGGAUUAGUGAUACUGAUAUUGCUCAGUGCCAUGCUGCAAGAGUCAGCACUUGGCUUUCCAUGUGGCUUGAGUCCCUGAGACUGGGACCAAGCACUGUGAGAACUGAAUGGGGAAGAAGUGGAGGAGCCUGUCCUUGCAGCUGAGUGGAGCCUGCGGGAUACCCCUGGUCAUGCCACUUGCCUAAUGCGCAUAUUAGGCUGAGCUGCUGAAGGAUAUUUAAAUCAAGCUUCCUCUUGCCGUUCCACCACAUGCUUCCUCUAAGCAAGAGUAGAUUAUUUGGCAAUAAACUGCUCUCAUCUCUUAAGCU
This is a long non-coding RNA of Gallus gallus (chicken), 1628 nucleotides long. The record is from Ensembl. NCBI's taxonomy places the organism in Eukaryota, Metazoa, Chordata, Aves, Galliformes, Phasianidae.